UACAGAGGUGGCAAGCGUUGUUCGGAAUUACUGGGCGUAAAGGGCGCGUAGGCGGCCUGGUCAGUCCCGUGUGAAAUCCCUCGGCUCAACUGAGGAACUGCACGGGAAACUGACGGGCUUGAGUUCGGGAGAGGGAAGCGGAAUUCCGGGUGUAGCGGUGAAAUGCGUAGAUAUCUGGAGGAACACCGGUGGCGAAGGCGACAUCCUGGACCGGUAUUGACGCUGAGGCGCGAAAGCCAGGGGAGCAAACGGG
Molecule: ribosomal RNA, 253 nt
Filed under: uncultured bacterium
Lineage: Bacteria
Description: partial 16S ribosomal RNA
Rfam family: Bacterial small subunit ribosomal RNA
Source: RNAcentral